RNAcentral lists this ribosomal RNA (743 nucleotides) under uncultured bacterium. RNAcentral's name for it is "bacterial SSU rRNA". It matches the Rfam family "Bacterial small subunit ribosomal RNA", at positions 94 to 823 of the family's 1533-position model. The record is from RNAcentral.
AGCGGCGGAUGGGUGAGUAACACGUGGGGAACCUGCCCCUAAGUCUGGGAUACCAUUUGGAAACAGGUGCUAAUACCGGAUAAUAAAGCAGAUCGCAUGAUCAGCUUUUGAAAGGCGGCGUAAGCUGUCGCUAAGGGAUGGCCCCGCGGUGCAUUAGCUAGUUGGUAAGGUAACGGCUUACCAAGGCGACGAUGCAUAGCCGAGUUGAGAGACUGAUCGGCCACAUUGGGACUGAGACACGGCCCAAACUCCUACGGGAGGCAGCAGUAGGGAAUCUUCCACAAUGGACGCAAGUCUGAUGGAGCAACGCCGCGUGAGUGAAGAAGGUUUUCGGAUCGUAAAGCUCUGUUGUUGGUGAAGAAGGAUAGAGGUAGUAUCUGGCCUUUAUUUGACGGUAAUCAACCAGAAAGUCACGGCUAACUACGUGCCAGCAGCCGCGGUAAUACGUAGGUGGCAAGCGUUGUCCGGAUUUAUUGGGCGUAAAGCGAGCGCAGGCGGAAAAAUAAGUCUAAUGUGAAAGCCCUCGGCUUAACCGAGGAACUGCAUCGGAAACUGUUUUUCUUGAGUGCAGAAGAGGAGAGUGGAACUCCAUGUGUAGCGGUGGAAUGCGUAGAUAUAUGGAAGAACACCAGUGGCGAAGGCGGCUCUCUGGUCUGCAACUGACGCUGAGGCUCGAAAGCAUGGGUAGCGAACAGGAUUAGAUACCCUGGUAGUCCAUGCCGUAAACGAUGAGUGCUAAGUGU